This is a long non-coding RNA of Paramisgurnus dabryanus, 1023 nucleotides long. RefSeq lists it as uncharacterized. NCBI's taxonomy places the organism in Eukaryota, Metazoa, Chordata, Actinopteri, Cypriniformes, Cobitidae. The record is from RefSeq and is a predicted model, not a curated record.
CCUAUUAUGGGAUACACGUUUUUAAACAUCAUUUUGUGUGUAAGUGUGUAUUAGUACAUGCUAACGAUAUUCAAAAAGUACAUACCUCAAAGAAAACGAUGACGCGAGUUAUCGUCUCUAACGUUCGAGGACUACAAAAAACACUCGGAUUGUAGGCAACAGUUUACUUCCUGGGAUUAGUGACGUAGAUAAGACCAACAUUAUCAUAGUUCAGCCCUCUCUGCUUUGCUUGGGUACGCCCUCAAAGACGAGGGUGGGGAGCGCCGAGUCAGAAGAGAGCUAAAAUGGCGGAGGUUGGGAGUCCCUGCUUUGACUCUGUUUGCAAACUCUUGUUUCAUUGUUUAAGCGAUUAAAUCUCUCGAGUAGACGCUGUCUCUUUAGAUGCGAGGGAAAAAUAGCACUUUAUGGACUUACACAGAGGACAUCAUGUUUAAUACGGUUCCGGAAAAAUCCAGUCAGAAGUUGUUCACGGAGUUUUCACAAUAACUGCUUCUCAUGAACCGAAGCUGGACGUCUCCUUCUGAAAGUUGGAUUACUGUGCACUUCUGGAUCACAGGCUAUUCGCAGCUGGACACAUCCUUCUACACUGUAUGCAAACAUGCAACAUCAUAACACACAGUACAAGGAGUCAGACUGGCAUAUGAGGAGCAAAGGAACCCAGACAGUAGCAUCGUUUCACAAUGUUUCCAUCACCAUCAUCAGUGGAUGCCUUUGCCGUCCGUAGCCUGAGAUUUCAGAUUUGCAGCAAAAAAAAUUGAUUUUCUCAUUUAUUGGAAUGCUAUGCAGGUUGUACCUUGCAGCCAUCCAUUACAAUGUCACCAAGCCGUAACAAAAGCAGGAGAGGGAAAGUACAAGGCUAUGUUCCCAAAACACACAAAUGACAUACCUUAUGUGGAUGAUGUGAUCAGGCUUGUGUUUGCUGAGGUAUUUGAAGAUAAGCUGAAGGAAACCCCAAUUCCAAUGGACCUGGCAUCACAGUUUGAGAGACCUUCAAAGGAGGACGUGAUUGCAUGCCAUCUUCAG